This 1807-nucleotide ribosomal RNA is filed under the name Rhipicephalus microplus (southern cattle tick). Its description in RNAcentral is "SSU rRNA". It matches the Rfam family "Eukaryotic small subunit ribosomal RNA". Lineage: Eukaryota; Metazoa; Arthropoda; Arachnida; Ixodida; Ixodidae. The record is from RNAcentral.
CCUGGUUGAUCCUGCCAGUAAUCAUAUGCUUGUCUCAAAGAUUAAGCCAUGCAUGUCUACAAGUACAUGCCGAAAUAAGGCGAAACCGCGAAUGGCUCAUUAAAUCAGUUAUGGUUCCUUAGAUCGUUUCUUCCUACUUGGAUAACUGUGGCAAUUCUAGAGCUAAUACAUGCAGUGAGCCUGGAGCCCUUUGGGUAACGGGUGCUUUUAUUAGACCAAGAUCGAUCGGGUUUCGGCCCGUAUUGUGUGGUGACUCUGGAUAACUUUGUGCUGAUCGCAUGGCCACGAGCCGGCGACGUUUCUUUCAAGUGUCUGCCUUAUCAACUUUCGAUGGUAGGUUACUUGCUUACCAUGGUUGUUACGGGUAACGGAGAAUCAGGGUUCGAUUCCGGAGAGGGAGCCUGAGAAACGGCUACCACAUCCAAGGAAGGCAGCAGGCGCGCAAAUUACCCACUCCCGGCACGGGGAGGUAGUGACGAAAAAUAACAAUACGGGACUCUUUUGAGGCCCCGUAAUUGAAAUGAGUACACUCUAAAUCCUUUAACGAGGAUCAAUUGGAGGGCAAGUCUGGUGCCAGCAGCCGCGGUAAUUCCAGCUCCAAUAGCGUAUACUAAAGCUGCUGCGGUUAAAAAGCUCGUAGUUGGAUCUCAGUUCCAGACGAGUAGUGCAUCUACCCGAUGCGACGGCUCGGACUGAACAUCAUGCCGGUUCUUUCUUGGUGCACUUCAUUGUGUGCCUCGAGAUGGCCGGUGCUUUUACUUUGAAAAAAUUAGAGUGCUCAACGCAGGCGAGUCGCCUGAAUAAACUUGCAUGGAAUAAUAGAACAAGACCUCGUUUCUGUUCUGUUGGUUUUUGGAAUACGAGGUAAUGAUUAAGAGGGACGGACGGGGGCAUUCGUAUUGCGGCGCUAGAGGUGAAAUUCUUGGACCGUCGCAAGACGAACUACUGCGAAAGCAUUUGCCAAGAAUGUUUUCAUUGAUCAAGAACGAAAGUCAGAGGUUCGAAGGCGAUCAGAUACCGCCCUAGUUCUGACCAUAAACGAUGCCAACCAGCGAUCCGCCUGAGUUACUCAAAUGACUCGGCGGGCAGCUUCCGGGAAACCAAAGUAUUUGGGUUCCGGGGGAAGUAUGGUUGCAAAGCUGAAACUUAAAGGAAUUGACGGAAGGGCACCACCAGGAGUGGAGCCUGCGGCUUAAUUUGACUCAACACGGGAAAACUUACCCGGCCCGGACACUGGGAGGAUUGACAGAUUGAGAGCUCUUUCUUGAUUCGGUGGAUGGUGGUGCAUGGCCGUUCUUAGUUGGUGGAGCGAUUUGUCUGGUUAAUUCCGAUAACGAACGAGACUCUAGCCUAUUAAAUAGGUGCGGGGUUCCCAGCACCUUACAACCUUCUUAGAGGGACAAGCGGCUCCUAGCCGCACGAAACAGAGCAAUAACAGGUCUGUGAUGCCCUUAGAUGUCCGGGGCCGCACGCGCGCUACACUGAAGGAAGCAGCGUGUCUUUAUCCCUGUCUGAAAAGACUGGGUAACCCGUGGAACUUCUUUCGUGAUUGGGAUAGGGGCUUGCAAUUGUUCCCCUUGAACGAGGAAUUCCCAGUAAGCGCGAGUCAUAAGCUCGCGUUGAUUACGUCCCUGCCCUUUGUACACACCGCCCGUCGCUACUACCGAUUGAAUGAUUUAGUGAGGUCUUCGGACCGAUGUCCGGCGCGGCCUUUCGGUUGCGCCGGUCUGUUGGAAAGAUGACCAAACUUGAUCAUUUAGAGGAAGUAAAAGUCGUAACAAGGUUUCCGUAGGUGAACCUGCGGAAG